This is a long non-coding RNA of Cyprinodon variegatus (sheepshead minnow), 261 nucleotides long. RefSeq lists it as uncharacterized. The transcript has 3 exons. The record is from RefSeq and is a predicted model, not a curated record. NCBI's taxonomy places the organism in Eukaryota, Metazoa, Chordata, Actinopteri, Cyprinodontiformes, Cyprinodontidae.
GACAUCACUGAGCUGUACAGAAGGCGAUGUGGUGAAAUGGGUGUGGGACAACUGGGACACGGAGUACAGUGUCCCAGUCUGUGACAUAACCUUACAGUGUGAAUGGUCUUUUUAUGAGGUCAUCGUCCAGUUUGUGAUCAUGCGUUACGACAAAAACACCACCGAGCUCUACCAGGCCAGAGACAUUGCGCAUCGCUGGCUCAGAAAGGUUUUACCAUCUGACAUCUAUUUGCACAGAGUGUCUGUGUUUGAAGCAACCAG